UUAUUCAAUUACGAACAAUGAAACAUUUUUCUUUUAAGUGAAUUUCUAUUAUAAUAGAAGUUUGUCAAGUACAUCUCAGUGAAGCAGAAAAUCUUCAGGCAAACAUCGACAUCAAAGUGAUACCAUACGGAUACCAAAAAAAUCCUAUGGAACAAAGAAGCAGAUAAUGAUCACAGAAGUGCAACAAAGAGCACCAGGACCUGAUCAUCAAAUGUUAUGGUGUAGAUUUAAUCAGGAACAGGACACCUAAGUUGAACUCUGGCAAGGUUGUCCCUUGCAGAAGGUUUGAUACCCAGGCUUCUUUUGUACAAGUCCCUAGUCCACCCUCAUCUUGAGAACUGCUCCGGUGUCUGGGAUCCCUACAACAUCUCAGAUGUCCAGGACGCUACUUCACAAUGGGGACCACAAGAGAAGCAGCAGUUUGACUGAGAUGAUCAGCACCUUUAGUUGCCUACUAUAUCUACAACUACAAGGCACCCUGCAAGAGGACUGGGAAUGGUGCACAAGAUAGUCAAUGGUCUCUCCGCUCUCCCUUGAAAAUUUUCCCACUGUACUACUUAUAGCUACUUGUGCCCUCUAUAUAGCAAACAAUGCCUAAUCGGUGCCUGUUGGUCCCCCAUGAUCCUCUUCUU
Strongylocentrotus purpuratus (purple sea urchin) is the source of this 632-nucleotide long non-coding RNA. RefSeq lists it as uncharacterized. The transcript is spliced from 3 exons. Lineage: Eukaryota; Metazoa; Echinodermata; Echinoidea; Camarodonta; Strongylocentrotidae. The record is from RefSeq and is a predicted model, not a curated record.